RNAcentral lists this ribosomal RNA (417 nucleotides) under uncultured microorganism. Its description in RNAcentral is "bacterial SSU rRNA". It matches the Rfam family "Bacterial small subunit ribosomal RNA", at positions 9 to 424 of the family's 1533-position model. The record is from RNAcentral.
GAGUUUGAUCUUGGCUCAGAUUGAACGCUGGCGGCAUGCCUUACACAUGCAAGUCGAACGGCAGCAUGAUCUAGCUUGCUAGAUUGAUGGCGAGUGGCGAACGGGUGAGUAAUACACCGGAACGUGCCCUGUAGUGGGGGAUAACUAGUCGAAAGAUUAGCUAAUACCGCAUACGACCUGAGGGUGAAAGUGGGGGACCGCAAGGCCUCAUGCUAUAGGAGCGGCCGAUGUCUGAUUAGCUAGUUGGUGGGGUAAAGGCCCACCAAGGCGACGAUCAGUAGCUGGUCUGAGAGGACGAUCAGCCACACUGGGACUGAGACACGGCCCAGACUCCUACGGGAGGCAGCAGUGGGGAAUUUUGGACAAUGGGCGAAAGCCUGAUCCAGCAAUGCCGCGUGUGUGAAGAAGGCCUCGGUU